AGGAAUAUUGGUCAAUGGGCGAGAGCCUGAACCAGCCAAGUAGCGUGAAGGAUGACUGCCCUAUGGGUUGUAAACUUCUUUUAUAAAGGAAUAAAGUCGGGUAUGGAUACCCGUUUGCAUGUACUUUAUGAAUAAGGAUCGGCUAACUCCGUGCCAGCAGCCGCGGUAAUACGGAGGAUCCGAGCGUUAUCCGGAUUUAUUGGGUUUAAAGGGAGCGUAGAUGGAUGUUUAAGUCAGUUGUGAAAGUUUGCGGCUCAACCGUAAAAUUGCAGUUGAUACUGGAUAUCUUGAGUGCAGUUGAGGCAGGCGGAAUUCGUGGUGUAGCGGUGAAAUGCUUAGAUAUCACGAAGAACUCCGAUUGCGAAGGCAGCCUGCUAAGCUGCAACUGACAUUGAGGCUCGAAAGUGUGGGUAUCAAACAGGAUUAGAUACCCUGGUAGUCCACACGGUAAACGAUGAAUACUCGCUGUUUGCGAUAUACUGCAAGCGGCCAAGCGAAAGCGUUAAGUAUUCCACCUGGGGAGUACGCCGGCAACGGUGAAACUCAAAGGAAUUGACGGGGGCCCGCACAAGCGGAGGAACAUGUGGUUUAAUUCGAUGAUACGCGAGGAACCUUACCCGGGCUUAAAUUGCAGAUGAAUUACGGUGAAAGCCGUAAGCCGCAAGGCAUCUGUGAAGGUGCUGCAUGGUUGUCGUCAGCUCGUGCCGUGAGGUGUCGGCUUAAGUGCCAUAACGAGCGCAACCCUUGCUGUCAGUUACUAACAGGUUCCGCUGAGGACUCUGACAAGACUGCCAUCGUAAGAUGUGAGGAAGGUGGGGAUGACGUCAAAUCAGCACGGCCCUUACGUCCGGGGCUACACACGUGUUACAAUGGGGGGUACAGAGGGCCGCUACCACGCGAGUGGAUGCCAAUCCCCAAAACCUCUCUCAGUUCGGACUGGAGUCUGCAACCCGACUCCACGAAGCUGGAUUCGCUAGUAAUCGCGCAUCAGCCACGGCGCGGUGAAUACGUUCCCG
This 1016-nucleotide ribosomal RNA is filed under the name uncultured bacterium. RNAcentral describes it as "bacterial SSU rRNA". It matches the Rfam family "Bacterial small subunit ribosomal RNA", at positions 357 to 1376 of the family's 1533-position model. The record is from RNAcentral.